Long non-coding RNA from Solea senegalensis (Senegalese sole), 332 nucleotides. RefSeq lists it as uncharacterized. The record is from RefSeq and is a predicted model, not a curated record. NCBI's taxonomy places the organism in Eukaryota, Metazoa, Chordata, Actinopteri, Pleuronectiformes, Soleidae. The transcript is spliced from 3 exons.
UUUCCCUCCCCUGGGAUUACCUGCCCCGCCCUGAUGUGUUUCACCUGUUCAUCUUUAUCCCUCCACCUGUGGAUUUAGCCUGCAUGUGUCUCUUGCCGGUUUGUCUUGUCUGCUGACCGGGUAUUUAUUGAAGAAAGGGAAACAACAUCCAGACUGAGUCCUCUCCAAGCCAAGCUGCACGACUCUUUUCAUCACAGGAUGUGUGCUAAUGGAGACGAGUCCCACGUGUGGAGGUUUCCACCUUGACGCGUGAGGAGGAGCAGGUUCCAGACCCAGACGGUGGAAGUCAGAGCAGCACCUGCUUGGCUCUCAAAGACAAGUGUGGAAUCGUC